AACGAACGCUGGCGGCAGGCCUAACACAUGCAAGUCGAACGCCCUAGCAAUAGGGAGUGGCAGACGGGUGAGUAACACGUGGGAACCUUCCCUAUAGUAUGGAAUAGCCCAGGGAAACUUGGAGUAAUACCGUAUACGCCCGAGAGGGGAAAGAUUUAUCGCUAUAGGAUGGGCCCGCGUAGGAUUAGCUAGUUGGUGAGGUAAUGGCUCACCAAGGCGACGAUCCUUAGCUGGUCUGAGAGGACGACCAGCCACACUGGGACUGAGACACGGCCCAGACUCCUACGGGAGGCAGCAGUGGGGAAUAUUGGACAAUGGGCGCAAGCCUGAUCCAGCCAUGCCGCGUGAGUGAUGAAGGCCUUAGGGUUGUAAAGCUCUUUUGCCGGGGACGAUAAUGACGGUACCCGGAGAAUAAGUCCCGGCUAACUUCGUGCCAGCAGCCGCGGUAAGGCACGACUGU
Molecule: ribosomal RNA, 460 nt
Filed under: uncultured bacterium
Lineage: Bacteria
Description: bacterial SSU rRNA
Rfam family: Bacterial small subunit ribosomal RNA
Source: RNAcentral